UACGUAGGCAGCAAGCGUUGUUCGGAAUUACUGGGCGUAAAGAGUGUGUAGGCGGUGCUCUAAGUUCGGUGUGAAAUCUCCCGGCUUAACUGGGAGGGUGCGCCGGAAACUGGAGUGCUUGAGCGCGGGAGAGGAAAGCGGAAUUCCUGGUGUAGCGGUGAAAUGCGUAGAUAUCAGGAGGAACACCUGUGGUGUAGACGGCUUCCUGGACCGUAGCUGACGCUGAGACACGAAAGCGUGGGUAGCAAACAGG
Molecule: ribosomal RNA, 253 nt
Filed under: uncultured bacterium
Lineage: Bacteria
Description: partial 16S ribosomal RNA
Rfam family: Bacterial small subunit ribosomal RNA
Source: RNAcentral